Long non-coding RNA from Ricinus communis (castor bean), 1844 nucleotides. RefSeq lists it as uncharacterized. Lineage: Eukaryota; Viridiplantae; Streptophyta; Magnoliopsida; Malpighiales; Euphorbiaceae. The record is from RefSeq and is a predicted model, not a curated record. The transcript is spliced from 2 exons.
UGACCUUUUCCCUCUUUUUUUGUUUCCAUAUAUGGAUGUAUGUACCUUUUUUUCGUUUAUAUAUAACCAUAGUAAUCCAUUUACAGCUUUAUGUGUAUGUAUGAUGUUUUUGUUGAUUUCACAUAUAUCCUUUAACUGCAUAUUAUUUGAGGUUUGAUUACACUGUUGAAAUGUCAAGCUUCAAAUUUGAUCAUUGGGGAAAUCCAGGAAGCUAUAUUGCUUUUGCACCUUCGAAAUAAUAAUGUUAUACCUAUUAACUAUUUUAAAUUAUAACAGUAACAGACACAAGCACAAAUGUAAGAAAAACAGAAAAAAAAAUAUUUUUAUGGUAGUUUUCUUUUCUUGAUGGCCAUGUGACUAGAAUAAUAAUUUUCAUUUUCUCUUGGUAGAGUCAAAAGCUUAAUACUCUAAAUUGGCAUGUUAUUUCUGGUCAGUUGGAUAAAAAUUCUCUGCACAUGUCAAGUCUACUCUCUAAAGGUGUCAAUUUUAUUUAUUACUAGUAAGAUGGGGACUGUUAUUGAUUUGACUGGCUAAAGAAAAGUCUCUUUUAUGCCCAUAGCACUUUGUAUCCUUUUUCUUUUGAAGUUGGGGUUGGUAUUGACUUGACUUGCUAAAGAACAGAGAUGGAAUGGUUCCCUUAUCUGCCCAUAGGAGUUUGUACUUUCCUUAAUAGCUGAUAAUCAUUCCUUUUAAGUAAUUAUAAUACCAAAACUGAUUUCAGUUGUUUGUAAUUGAAGACAAAAUAGAGCUCAUCAGUUGCUGCAAUACUCAAAAGUUGUAAGGCAACUUAGUUGGAGCAGACAAUGAAGCAAAUUCCAGUCACCAGAUGAAGUCGUUUAUGCAAUUCACUGGAUGUGGAAAUUGAGAAAUUGAUUGCAUAAAUUUGUAAGCUCUGAUGACUUCCCUAGGCAUCGAAACAACUUCUUCUUCAUCUUCAUUUUUGCCACCUUCAUGCCCUUAAUGGAAAUAUGACGUCUUCCUAGGUUUUAGAGGUGAAGACACCUGCAUAAACUUCACAGACCAUUUAUAUGCUGGUUUGAAGCAGAAAGGAAUAAUUGUCUUUAGAGAUGACCAACACCUUGAGAGAGGAAAAGACAUUGCAAUAGAACUCUUGAAAGCCAUUGAAGAGUCAAAGUUUUGAAUUGUUGUUUUCUCAAAAAACUAUGCUUCUUCAACUUGGUGUUUGGAUGAACUUGUUAAGAUUGUCGAAUGUAUGGACACAAAGGGAUAACUAAUUUUCCCAGUAUUCUAUAAUGUUGAACCUUCUGAUGACCAAAACAAAAAGGAAGCUUUGAGAAAGCUUUUGCUAGACAUGAAGAUGUAAUACCCAGAAUUUUUCUUUAAUAAUGAUAAUUUUAAUAAUAAUUAAUAAAUGAGUUUAUUUAAAAUAAUUUUUUUAUUUGUAUUUGGUUUAAAUUGGAAUGAUUUAAAUGGAAAUUUUAAUGCUAGACAAAUAAAGGAGUUAUUUUUAUAUCAAAUUAGUUUGAUUUUUAAGAAAUUAAUUAAGUAAAUUCUUUGAGAUCGGGGGUCGGAUAGGAAGAUCGAAAGCAGGGAUCAUCAUCAGCACGUCGUUUCGAGUCCAAUGGUGCAUUCGGAUCGUCGAUCGGACUCCGGCGGCGAGUCGACCGAGCGAUCAAGCGUCUUAAUAAUUUAUCUGGCCCGUUUAUUUUAGAAUUCUUUGGUAAAUUAUGUGUUUUAUUGAUUUGUGUUGAGCUUUAGAAAAAAUGAGUUAAAAUAAUUAAUUGUCCGACUUUAUGCCUUAGGUUGUGUUUUGUGAUGUGUGACGGAGUCGGGAAAAAAAAUAUAAAGUCUUGGGGACCCGACUCCCAUUAAAAUAAAUUGUU